GAUGAACGCUAGCGGCAGGCCUUCACAUGCAAGUCGAGGGGUAACGUGAGUGCUUGCACUUGACGACGACCGGCGCACGGGUGCGGAACGCGUACGGAACCUACCUUUAUCAGGGAGAUAGCCCAUGGAAACGUGGAUUAAUAUCCCAUAGUAUUAUUUUAUCGCCUGAUAGAAUAAUUAAAGAAUUUCGGAUAGAGAUGGCCAUGCGUAUCAUUAGCUAGUAGGCGAGGUAACGGCUCACCUAGGCGACGAUGAUUAGGGGUCCUGAGAGGGAGAUCCCCCACACUGGUACUGAGACACGGACCAGACUCCUACGGGAGGCAGCAGUGAGGAAUAUUGGGCAAUGGAGGCAACUCUGACCCAGCCAUGCCGCGUGCAGGAAGACGGCCCUACGGGUUGUAAACUGCUUUUAUACAGGAAGAACACCACCCACGUGUGGGUGACUGACGGUACUGUAAGAAUAGGGACCGGCUAACUCCGUG
This 482-nucleotide ribosomal RNA is filed under the name uncultured bacterium. Its description in RNAcentral is "bacterial SSU rRNA". It matches the Rfam family "Bacterial small subunit ribosomal RNA", at positions 28 to 507 of the family's 1533-position model. The record is from RNAcentral.